UUUAUACUUCCUCCGUCCGGAUAUACUUGUCAUCAAAAUGGAUAAAAAGGAUGUAUCUAGAACUUUUUAUCCAUUUUGAUGACAAGUAUUUUCGGACGGAGGAAGUAUUAG
Molecule: non-coding RNA, 111 nt
Organism: Triticum aestivum (bread wheat)
Lineage: Eukaryota; Viridiplantae; Streptophyta; Magnoliopsida; Poales; Poaceae
Source: Rfam